RNAcentral lists this unclassified non-coding RNA (1287 nucleotides) under Hevea brasiliensis (rubber tree). The record is from RNAcentral. Lineage: Eukaryota; Viridiplantae; Streptophyta; Magnoliopsida; Malpighiales; Euphorbiaceae.
UGUGAAGAAGCAUAUUCUAGAAGGCUACAGCUGGAAUAUGGUUGUCGGAGAGGAAUGCGGGAACCAUGUGAAGGCAGCAGCUUCAGAGUCUAUAUAAUUGAGAGAAUGAGCGUGGGAUGGGUGUGAAUUGAGUAUUUUAACCGUACUACUGGGAUGAGCAAUAGAGAGGUGUUCUGGAAUUAUUUCCUGAAAUUCUUGUAUCCCACCUGUAUUUCUGAACUACUGAAUAAGAAACACUCUUCUUGCUGCCAUUUCUUUUCUUUGCAACUUUCAAUUACCAUUUAUUUUUCCUUUUUAGCUUCUUACUCUAUCAGUGUUUAUAGUAUCCACCAAUGUCAUGGUCUCAUAGUAAAAUAAGAUUUGUGGAUAUUGUUGUGAAUUGCUUCUUCCUUAGGAAAUAGAUGAGACAAUGCUCAUCAUAAUACCAUUCAGUGCAGCUGAAAUUAGCCCAUGAUAUGGAGAAAUUCAAUUUUCAAAAUCCACCGCAACACCAAUGGAUAGAUGAAGUUUGUAGUGUUAUCGCUAAUUAUUUGGUAGGCUAAGUUGAUGAUAUAUUUAUUGGCUGAUCUUAAAAGGGUGCAAAUGGACAAUGAGUACUUAAUGCAUUUUACUAGGAAAAGAGAAAACAACUACUAAAUUGCUUUUUACAUGUUUGCCUGUGAUUAGUAUUAUGAAUGUGGGAUAGAAGUUGGUAUUUGAGGAUUUUGAAGCAAAGGACUGUCUUAUCUUCAUUUCUGUACUCCACCACGUAGGCCUAUAUUUAAUAUGACAUUGGAAAUAGAGGGGAUGAAGAAAUGAUUCCAGACAUGAGCAUGUCAUUUUGCUGAUGGUGAUCUAGUUUGGUGUUGGUAGGGAAAAUGAAGUGGAAAGAGAGGAACACAACAGAAACACAAGAACUUGUAUUGCUGGUUAAACUAUGAAAAUGGAGGGAACAAAAGAUUACUUUCCAUUGUCUAGCAACUUUGUCAUAGUUCAAAGAAAGCCGAUCUUUUAUUUGGGUUCUAAUGAAUCCAACUAUAAACAAUUGAAUCCUCAAUUAUACAAUUGCCAACUAAAAUGAUCACAUGAAUCGUCCAACCCAUCUGAAUAAAAUACAGGAAUAUAUUAUAGGUAAGUGAAGAAGCCUUCCACUGUGUUGUGUUUGACCCAGCCAAUGGCAAAGAACAAUUCAUGUGGAGCAGGAUGUCUAACAUCUGCUGUACUUUUGAAAACCUGAAACCUAAUGAUUUUUGUAUCCUCUUUGCAUUUGAUAAUAGUCAUGGGCCAUAGGAAAAGGUAGAAUUUGGG